Non-coding RNA from Pelobates cultripes (western spadefoot toad), 232 nucleotides. The record is from the annotation of a GenBank genome assembly. Lineage: Eukaryota; Metazoa; Chordata; Amphibia; Anura; Pelobatidae.
GGCCAAUAUAAUUAUGGUGAAGUGUGGGUUAAUAUUACAGCGAGCAGGGGGAGCAUGGGUGCACUGUCACAUGACCUGUAGGGUAUGGAGGUUCAUAGAACAAGCAAUUUUUUCCAAAUAGCCAAUAAAGAUGUAGAUAAUCAAAGAUGAGGAUGCAAAGUUAAUAUAAUUAUUUUGGCCUUAGGGGCUCCUACACUUAUUAUUAGUCCUCAUGCUAAAUUAUAUAUACACA